AAUUAUCGAGCCCUAGAUUUCUCAGCGCUCGCUCAGAGUCACUUACCGCAGACAAUUUUCCCGAGAAACAAACACCAAGUAAGAUUGCAACAUCGAGACUUCCAACUACGAGAUAGCGGAAAACCUAUGAUGACGGAAUACGAAGGGAGGUACGAUGGUAACGGAGAGGACGCUGGCACAUACGCCGAUGGCGGUUCCUCUCCCCAACCUCGUGCUGCCGUCCACGGCGGUGCCGACGAUUACAGCGAUUCCAAAUCUCAGGUACACGUAGUAUUGCAGCAUGAGUCUCGUGAUUACGAGAGAGAAUCUUCAAAGAGCAGAGAAAAGGAUAGAGAUAAAGGGCGUGAUAAGGAGAGGGACAGGGACCGGGACAGAGAUAGAGACAGGGGGAGAAGCAAGGACAAGGAUAGGGAAAGGGAUAGGGAUAGAGAUAGGGUUAGGGAUAGGGACCGUGAUAGAGAAAGAGAAAGAGACCGGGACAGGGAUCGCGAUCGUCAUCACAGAGACCGCCACAGGGAUCGCGAGAGAAGUGAGCGACGGAGAGACAAGGACGACGACGACAAUGGUCACUACCGUACCCGGGACUCUGAUAGACGGAGGGAUUAUGACAGAGACAGAGAGGAUAGGCAUAGGCGCAAGUCCCGGUCUCGUUCAAGAGCUAGAUCUGAGCACAAAUCCAGAUCGAGGUCACGCUCUCGUUCACGCUCAAAAAGCAAAAGGAUUAGCGGUUUUGACAUGGCACCUCCUGCUUCUGCAAUGUUAGCUGGUGCUGCUGUUGCUGCAGCAGGGCAAAUUCCUGGGACUAGUCCUACCAUUCCGGGAAUGUUCCCAAACAUGUUCCCUCUGUCGACCGGUCAGCAGUUUGCACCCCUUCCAGUUAUGCCUGUUCAGGCAAUGACUCAACAGGCUACUAGGCAUGCCCGACGAGUGUACGUUGGAGGGCUUCCUCCCACAGCAAAUGAACAGUCUGUUGCUACAUUUUUCAGCCAAGUUAUGGCUGCAAUUGGAGGGAACACUGCUGGCCCAGGAGAUGCUGUUGUCAAUGUCUACAUAAACCAUGAAAAGAAAUUUGCUUUUGUGGAGAUGAGAUCGGUUGAAGAGGCUAGCAAUGCAAUGGCUCUGGAUGGAAUUAUUUUUGAGGGAGCCCCUGUUAAGGUGCGGAGACCUAGUGAUUACAACCCAUCUCUGGCUGCAACACUCGGUCCAAGCCAGCCCAAUCCCAACCUGAACCUGGCCGCUGUGGGGCUUACACCGGGUUCUGCUGGUGGGCUUGAGGGCCCUGAUCGCAUAUUUGUUGGUGGGCUGCCAUAUUACUUCACAGAAGCACAGAUCAAGGAGUUACUCGAAUCCUUUGGACCCCUUCGUGGUUUUGAUUUAGUGAAAGACAGGGAAACAGGAAACUCAAAAGGCUAUGCCUUUUGUGUUUACCAAGACCUUUCUGUUACAGACAUAGCUUGUGCAGCGCUGAACGGUAUUAAAAUGGGUGACAAGACGCUCACAGUUAGGCGUGCUAACCAAGGUGCCAACCAGCCCAAACCUGAGCAAGAGAGCGUUCUGUUGCACGCACAGCAGCAAAUUGCAUUGCAGAGGUUCAUGCUGUUGCAACCGCCUAGUUCUGUUGCCACCAAGGUUGUAUGUUUAACUCAGGUAGUAACUGCAGAUGAGCUUAGGGACGAUACUGAGUAUGAUGAUAUCUUGGAAGACAUGAGGCUUGAAGGCGAAAAGUUUGCCUUUUUUGUAGUCCCACAUUCUGCUAUAAAGAAUCAGGCGUUAACAUUCAGACAGAAGCCUCCAUAACCUUCUAAAUUCAUCUAAGACUUGUGUUGUCGUCUAUUUUUAAUAGUUAUUUGAUUUUGACUGAUCUGCAGGUGCAUUAGUGAACGUCAUCAUCCCGCGUCCAAGACCAGAUGGUGAACUUGCCCCCGGUGUUGGGAAGGUGUUUUUGGAGUACGCAGAUACUGAUGGCUCCACAAAAGCCCGCACGGGGUUGAAUGGCCGGAAAUUUGGCGGCAAUCAGGUGGUAGCAGUGUUUUAUCCGGAGGACAAGUUCGGCCAGCGCGACUACGAGGGCUAGUUGUUCGUCUUAAGUGUACUACUAAGUGAUCUAUUGAGAUUCUCUCUUAAUUAGAACUUUUGAGUUUGCAUUUUUUCAUUAGAGUUGUAUCGUGUAUCCUGGUAUGUAUGACUAGGAAUAAUUUGACGCGUAUUUUUUUUUUUUCAGUUAGUGGAAGGACUGAAGUUAAGAACUUGAAUAUAAGUUGUGGUAUUUCCUUGUCUUUCUA
Molecule: RNA transcript, 2282 nt
Organism: Malus domestica (apple)
Lineage: Eukaryota; Viridiplantae; Streptophyta; Magnoliopsida; Rosales; Rosaceae
Gene name: splicing factor U2af large subunit A-like
Source: RefSeq, a predicted model, not a curated record